Molecule: ribosomal RNA, 496 nt
Filed under: uncultured bacterium
Lineage: Bacteria
Description: partial 16S ribosomal RNA
Rfam family: Bacterial small subunit ribosomal RNA
Source: RNAcentral
GCGAACGCUGGCGGCGUGCCUAAUACAUGCAAGUAGAACGCUGAAGAGAGGAGCUUGCUCUUCUUGGAUGAGUUGCGAACGGGUGAGUAACGCGUAGGUAACCUGCCUUGUAGCGGGGGAUAACUAUUGGAAACGAUAGCUAAUACCGCAUAACAAUGGAUGACACAUGUCAUUUAUUUGAAAGGGGCAAUUGCUCCACUACAAGAUGGACCUGCGUUGUAUUAGCUAGUAGGUGAGGUAAUGGCUCACCUAGGCGACGAUACAUAGCCGACCUGAGAGGGUGAUCGGCCACACUGGGACUGAGACACGGCCCAGACUCCUACGGGAGGCAGCAGUAGGGAAUCUUCGGCAAUGGGGGCAACCCUGACCGAGCAACGCCGCGUGAGUGAAGAAGGUUUUCGGAUCGUAAAGCUCUGUUGUAAGUCAAGAACGGGUGUGAGAGUGGAAAGUUCACACUGUGACGGUAGCUUACCAGAAAGGGACGGCUAACUACGUG